GCCAGGCGAGGUGGCAUCUGCCUGUAGUCCCAGCUACUUGGGAGACAGAGGUAGGAGGAUUGCUUGAGUCCAGGAGUUCUGGACUGUAGUUUGCUAUGCCCAUUGGGUGUCCGUACUAAGUUCGGCAUCAAUAUGGUGACCUCCCAGGAGCGCGGGACCACCAGGUUGCCUAAGGAUGGGUGAACCGGCCCAGGCUGGAAAUGGAGCAGCUCAAAACUCCCGUGCCGAUCAGUAGUGGGAUGGCGCCUGUGAAUAGCCACUGCACUCCAGCCUGGGCAACACAGUGAGACCCCAUCUCA
Aotus nancymaae (Ma's night monkey) is the source of this 299-nucleotide unclassified non-coding RNA. It matches the Rfam family "Metazoan signal recognition particle RNA". Rfam says of the family: The signal recognition particle (SRP) is a universally conserved ribonucleoprotein. It is involved in the co-translational targeting of proteins to membranes. The eukaryotic SRP consists of a 300-nucleotide 7S RNA and six proteins: SRPs 72, 68, 54, 19, 14, and 9. The record is from Ensembl. Lineage: Eukaryota; Metazoa; Chordata; Mammalia; Primates; Aotidae.